UACGUAGGGUGCGAGCGUUGUCCGGAAUUAUUGGGCGUAAAGAGCGUGUAGGCGGCCAGACAGGUCCGUUGUGAAAACUCGAGGCUCAACCUCGAGAUGUCGAUGGAAACCGUCUGGCUAGAGUCCGGAAGAGGAGUGUGGAAUUCCUGGUGUAGCGGUGAAAUGCGCAGAUAUCAGGAGGAACACCUAUUGCGAAGGCAGCUCGCUGGGACGUAACUGACGCUGAGACGCGAAAGCGUGGGGAGCAAACAGG
RNAcentral lists this ribosomal RNA (253 nucleotides) under uncultured bacterium. RNAcentral's name for it is "partial 16S ribosomal RNA". It matches the Rfam family "Bacterial small subunit ribosomal RNA", at positions 524 to 776 of the family's 1533-position model. The record is from RNAcentral.